GAUGAACGCUGGCGGCGUGCAUAACACAUUCAAGUCGAACGGACUGAUUCGGAAGCUUGCUUCCGAUGAAAGUUAGUGGCGGACGGGUGAGUAACGCGUGAGCAACCUGCCCUUGUGUGUGGGAUAACGUCUGGAAACGGACGCUAAUACCGCAUGAAGCAUGGACAUCGCAUGGUGACCAUGCCAAAGAUUUAUUGCACAAGGAUGGGCUCGCGUCUGAUUAGAUAGUUGGUGGGGUAACGGCCUACCAAGUCGACGAUCAGUAGCCGGACUGAGAGGGUGAACGGCCACAUUGGGACUGAGACACGGCCCAAACUCCUACGGGAGGCAGCAGUGGGGAAUAUUGCACAAUGGGGGAAACCCUGAUGCAGCGACGCCGCGUGAGUGAAGAAGUAUUUCGGUAUGUAAAGCUCUAUCAGCAGGGAAGAAAAUGACGGUACCUGACUAAGAAGCCCCGGCUAACUACGUG
Molecule: ribosomal RNA, 469 nt
Filed under: uncultured bacterium
Lineage: Bacteria
Description: bacterial SSU rRNA
Rfam family: Bacterial small subunit ribosomal RNA
Source: RNAcentral